UUCAGGUCAAGUUUAUACACACUGUAUGUAGAUAUACAUUUUUUUUGUUUGCAGAAUUUGGUAAAUAUUUUGGGAAGAAUAGUUGACCAUGAGCAUGAUAAAAUUGAUUUUGGUAAAAAGGUACUUUUUACAAUAUGGACGAUUUCAAAACCAGAAAGUUUUCUGGCUGUUGGAGACAGAUUUGAUUUUGGAAAAAGCACUGCCCAUGGAAUUUUUAAAGAAAUUGUUGCAGCUUUAGCUAACCUCAUAAGAGAAUAUGUUAGGUUUCCUCAAGUAAAUGAAUACAACCUCUCAACAGUUGCAUUUCAACAACGUUCUAGGGGGUUUCCUGGAGUUGUGGGUGCUAUAGAUGGCUGUCACAUCCCUAUAAAGCAACCACGGGGAAAUGAACAUGACUUUUAUAAUAGAAAGGGAUUUCACUCCAUAAUUUUACAAGGAACUUGUGACCAUAUGGGAAAGUUCAUAGACUGUUAUAUUGGUAUGCCAGGGAGGAUGCAUGAUGCUAGAGUUUUUAGAAACAGUAAUAUAUAUGAACAGUUAACAAAUGAAAAUAAUGCAUUACUACCAGCAAAUGUACAUAUUAUUGGAGAUAGUGCAUAUCCUUUAAUGACCAACGUAAUGGUCCCUUACAGAGACACUGGGCAUUUAACACCUAGUGAAAUCAAUUAUAAUGUUAAAUUAAGCUCCAUUAGAUCAAUUAUUGAGAGAGUUUUCGGAAUUUUUAAAAAUAAAUUUAGACGUCUGAAGUAUUUGGAUAUUUCUGAUCCUGAUUUUGGUAACCAAAUAAUUGCUGCUGCAGUUGUAUUAUACAAUUUUUUGGUAACACAGGGGGAAAUAAAUUUAUACGAAGAAAAUUUGGAUCUAGAAAACAUGGGACCUGUAAUUGAAUUUCAAAAUAAUGAUGUAAUUGAAAAUGAGGCUGUUCAAAAGAGAAAUAUCAUUUA
Long non-coding RNA from Anoplophora glabripennis (Asian longhorned beetle), 944 nucleotides. RefSeq lists it as uncharacterized. The transcript is spliced from 3 exons. The record is from RefSeq and is a predicted model, not a curated record. NCBI's taxonomy places the organism in Eukaryota, Metazoa, Arthropoda, Insecta, Coleoptera, Cerambycidae.